GAUGAACGCUGGCGGCGUGCCUAAUACAUGCAAGUCGAGCGAACAGACGAGGAGCUUGCUCCUCUGACGUUAGCGGCGGACGGGUGGGUAACACGUGGAUAACCUACCUAUAAGACUGGGAUAACUUCGGGAAACCGGAGCUAAUACCGGAUAACAUGUUGAACCGCAUGGUUCAACAGUGAAAGACGGUCUUGCUGUCACUUAUAGAUGGAUCCGCGCCGCAUUAGCUAGUUGGUAAGGUAACGGCUUACCAAGGCAACGAUGCGUAGCCGACCUGAGAGGGUUAUCGGCCACACUGGAACUGAGACACGGUCCAGACUCCUACGGGAGGCAGCAGUAGGGAAUCUUCCGCAAUGGGCGAAAGCCUGACGGAGCAACGCCGCGUGAGUGAUGAAGGUCUUCGGAUCGUAAAACUCUGUUAUUAGGGAAGAACAAAUGUGUAAGUAACUAUGCACGUCUUGACGGUACCUAAUCAGAAAGCCACGGCUAACUACGUG
Molecule: ribosomal RNA, 497 nt
Filed under: uncultured bacterium
Lineage: Bacteria
Description: partial 16S ribosomal RNA
Rfam family: Bacterial small subunit ribosomal RNA
Source: RNAcentral